Molecule: unclassified non-coding RNA, 216 nt
Filed under: Hevea brasiliensis (rubber tree)
Lineage: Eukaryota; Viridiplantae; Streptophyta; Magnoliopsida; Malpighiales; Euphorbiaceae
Source: RNAcentral
AUGACUUACGUUGCCACACCCAUGUCGAAUUCUUCAAAAAUACACUACUUUUAAAGAAUCUGACACGCACUCUAAACUACUUUGAAGAGCCCGAGCAACAUAGAAUCAGAUCACUCAUUGUGUUUCAUAUUUUAGAGUCAACUUCCUCCUUAACUAUUAUAAAGUAUGAAAACAAUACAGUGAAGUUGUAGGUAGGCAGGUAACCAAAUGUUUGGU